GUCCACGCCCUAAACGAUGGGUACUAGACGUCGGGAAGCUUGUCUUCUUGGUGUCGCAGCUAACGCAAUAAGUACCCCGCCUGGGGAGUACGGUCGCAAGAUUAAAACUCAAAGGAAUUGACGGGGGCCCGCACAAGCGGUGGAGCAUGUGGUUCAAUUCGAUGCAACGCGAAAACCUUACCUGCCCUUGACAUCUAGAGAAUCCUGCAGAGAUGCGGGAGUGCCGCAAGGAACUCUAAGACAGGUGCUGCAUGGCUGUCGU
Molecule: ribosomal RNA, 262 nt
Filed under: uncultured bacterium
Lineage: Bacteria
Description: partial 16S ribosomal RNA
Rfam family: Bacterial small subunit ribosomal RNA
Source: RNAcentral